GGGCCCGUAGCUCAGCAAGGAUCAGAGCGCCGGCCUGCGGAGCCGGAGGUCCCGGGUUCAAGUCCCGGCGGGCCCGCCA
RNAcentral lists this transfer RNA (79 nucleotides) under Thermoproteota archaeon. RNAcentral's name for it is "tRNA-Arg". It matches the Rfam family "tRNA". From Rfam's summary of the family: Transfer RNA (tRNA) molecules are approximately 80 nucleotides in length. Their secondary structure includes four short double-helical elements and three loops (D, anti-codon, and T loops). Further hydrogen bonds mediate the characteristic L-shaped molecular structure. tRNAs have two regions of fundamental functional importance: the anti-codon, which is responsible for specific mRNA codon recognition, and the 3' end, to which the tRNAs corresponding amino acid is attached (by aminoacyl-tRNA synthetases). tRNAs cope with the degeneracy of the genetic code in two manners: having more than one tRNA (with a specific anti-codon) for a particular amino acid; and 'wobble' base-pairing, i.e. permitting non-standard base-pairing at the 3rd anti-codon position. Lineage: Archaea; Thermoproteati; Thermoproteota. RNAcentral also lists the same sequence under 1 other name. The record is from RNAcentral.